This 301-nucleotide ribosomal RNA is filed under the name uncultured bacterium. Its description in RNAcentral is "partial 16S ribosomal RNA". It matches the Rfam family "Bacterial small subunit ribosomal RNA", at positions 509 to 807 of the family's 1533-position model. The record is from RNAcentral.
CAGUCGCCGCGGGAAUACGAAGGGGGCUAGCGUUGCUCGGAAUGACUGGGCGUAAAGCGUGCGUAGGCGGCUUUUUAAGUCGGAUGUGAAAUCCCUGAGCUUAACUUAGGAAUUGCAUUCGAUACUGGGAAGCUAGAGUAUGGGAGAGGAUGGUAGAAUUCCAGGUGUAGCGGUGAAAUGCGUAGAGAUCUGGAGGAAUACCGAUGGCGAAGGCAGCCAUCUGGCCUAAUACUGACGCUGAGGUACGAAAGCAUGGGGAGCAAACAGGAUUAGAUACCCGAGUAGUCCCUGUCUCUUAUAC